Molecule: ribosomal RNA, 253 nt
Filed under: uncultured bacterium
Lineage: Bacteria
Description: partial 16S ribosomal RNA
Rfam family: Bacterial small subunit ribosomal RNA
Source: RNAcentral
UACGUAGGGUGCAAGCGUUGUCCGGAAUUAUUGGGCGUAAAGAGCUCGUAGGCGGUCUGUUGCGUCGGCUGUGAAAACCCGGGGCUCAACCCCGGGCCUGCAGCCGAUACGGGCAGACUAGAGUUCGGCAGGGGAGACUGGAAUUCCUGGUGUAGCGGUGAAAUGCGCAGAUAUCAGGAGGAACACCGGUGGCGAAGGCGGGUCUCUGGGCCGAUACUGACGCUGAGGAGCGAGAGCGUGGGGAGCGAACAAG